Molecule: transfer RNA, 67 nt
Filed under: Marmota monax (woodchuck)
Lineage: Eukaryota; Metazoa; Chordata; Mammalia; Rodentia; Sciuridae
Description: tRNA.Ala
Source: RNAcentral
GGUUGUGGCUCAGUGGUAGAAUGCAAACCUAGCAUGCAUGAGGCACUGGGUUCAAUCCUCAGCACCA